CUUAAAGCAAAAUCUACUUUAAUUAAACCCCUAACAUUCUGAUUAAAGAUGAUAAUCCUUUUGCACUGUGAACUUGUGAUAAGUACGUUCAAUUUGUAUCCAUUUUUAAAAGACAGUGCUGCCUUUUGACACACGCUUGCAUGGCAAUACGUGAAACCUAACGUUUAUCUAAGAUUAAGUUCUGCUUAAAUCCUCUUCUUUGUCUUUAACUGUUUGCAGCACUCACAGUGGUUUUUUUCUUUAGGAUAAAGGAAGAAUCCAGUGUUAUUUCGUUUGACAGAUACUGGCAACUUUGGGGAUACAGUCAGUCUUUAUAUUACUUUAUUACAGUUCAAUGAAAGGGAGUAGAAUCUUGAUUUUAACUCAGUUUUAUAUUCUUCCACUGGUCCCAGCAAUGAAGGAUGGUAGGCUCUGGGGACUGUGCAGUGAUCACUGAUAAAGCAAAAAAGAUAUUACAACAAGGAUUAAAGAUUAUAUUCAGUCUAGAGCUGGAGCAUUUCUUAACUCUAAAAUGGAGACAAGUCAGGGUUUUGAAAUAUUAUUGCAGAAGGGGAUGAGGCAACCAAUUACAGCUCUCUUCACCCUCACAGGAGAAAAAGAAACUGUGGCUCAGAGACAUUCAGUAACCUUCCCAAAUUCUCCCAGUGAAUUAGCCGCUGAGCGGGGACUUGAACCCAGCUCUGAUUGGAGGCCCCUUGGCAGCACGCUCGGCUGCUUCAUCCCAGCAGCUUCCCAUAAAUACACAAAGUUCAUAGAGUCUGUUCACAACAACAACUAUGCAGAUAUUUCUAUUUUAAAAGUUGUGAGCAGAGAGUUGUGCUACUUCAGCAAGCAAGUCCUAAGGGUUCAGUGUAUACUGAGAUGGUGAGUGCUGGAGUCAAAUAAAGCAUUAAUUUGACAAUUUUUCAGUACUCUGCCUAGCCGUUAUUUUGCCAAGAAGAUCAGUCAGUGUAUCUGGGAAAUCAUACAUAAAUGUUAGGUAAUUCAUUUAUUACUUUUACAAAAACAAGACUUAAAAAAAUAGUUUCUUCUUACUUUGUUGGUGUAUUUAUUUAUUUAUUUAUUUAGUUAGUUAUUCAUUCAUUCAUUCAUUCAUUCAUUCAUUUUUGAAACAGAGCAUGAGCAGGGGAGGGUCAGGGACAGAGAAGGACAGAUGAUCCAAAGCGGGCUAUGCGCUGACAGCAGAGAGCCAAAAGUGGAGCUCAAACUCAAGAACCGCGAGAUCACGACCAAAGCCGAAGUCGGACGCUCAACUGAGCCAUUCAGGUGCCAUUUUUAUAUAUUUUUAAUCAAGGUGAGCCUCUAUCAUUUUAUUUGAUUUAUCCUAGUUCUCCUCUCCUACCCUCUAUCCAACUCCUCCCUCCCCUCAUACCAACACACUCACAUAUUAGAGGACCAUUUAGGACCACUGACUGAAUCCCUUGUAUGGUUGGCAUUGUUUGUGACCCACUCCUCGCUAUGACCCCAGUGAGGCUUCCUGGGUGCCCCCCCUGGAGCCCACCCCCACCCCCAGCACAUCAGGCUCUAUCCUCUGCCCAUCCUGACAUGUCUCUGGUUGGCAGUCCAGCACCCAGCAGACAAUCAAGAACCCAUGGCUGCAGGUGGACCUCCUGGAGAUGACAGCAUGGUCCUUACACCAACAAGAGGAAGGGAAGCACGUAAGCUGAGGGUGUGGACUUGGGAGAGACCUCUGAGAUCCAACCUGCCGCUUUCUCAGAGAGUGAAAGGAGGCAACCUGCUUAAGGAAAGCCAGCUAGACAGAGAAAGACAGACGGACUAGAACUGAGAUUUCCCAUCCCCCGAUCCCCACUCCCUCCACUAUUUCAUAAGGUGUAAAAGAGUAACAUAUUUAUCUACUGACAGUUACUUGUAUUCUCUAUUUUUUUGAAUAGGCAUUAGCAGCAGCUUUCAAUAAAGGAUGAAUGUUUACUAUAAUUUGAGCAAAGGUAAGGUGAAUAGAGGCAUGUAUUUAAGAGAGUGGAUGGGGAGUUUUCAAUAUGAAGGAGGCCAUUUGGGAGUGCAAUACUAAAUCUAAAUACUCAGAUUUGGUUCUGAGUUUCCUGGAGGUAAGUUGAAAAUGGAAACACUGAAUUAGUAUUUGAAGUUUAUCAUAAAAACUUCAUCCAAACAUUAUACUUAAUUAAAAAAUGUCAGCUAUAUUAUAAUGGACAGUGUCUUCAAUAACACUUAUAAAAGAUAUGGGACAAUUCUUGAUAGAGUUCAUAUUAAAUCUUGGUUCUGUCUGAAUCAGCAUUUCUUUGGGAACCUAGAGCACGAGGGUUCAGUUAUGUUGUUGUAACAUGAUUUGAUUCAGGAUAGAGUUUAAAGUCUUUAAAGCAAUUGUUCUCAAGGGUGCCUGGGUGGCUCAGUCGGUUAAGUGUCCGACUCUUGAUUUUAGCUCAGGUCAUUAUCUCACAGCUUGUGAGAUCGGGCCCCACAUUGGGCUCUGUGCCAACAAUGUGGAGCCUGCUUGGGAUUCUGUCUCUCCCUCUCUGUCUGUUCCUCCCCUGCUCAUCUCUCUCUCUCAAAAAUUUAAAAAUGUUUAAAAAGCAAUUGUUCUCAAAUAUUAAUGUGAAAAUAAUUUACUACAAAGGUUUUUUUUUUCCUAAUGUAGAUCACUGUCCUCUCUCACCCUCAUCCUUCAAUCUAUAGGUCCAAGAUAGAGCCUAAGAGUCUGCAUUAUUAAUAAGCUCUGGUUGUGAUUCAGGUGGCCAGUGGGGCACAUCUGAAGCAACACCAACCUAGAAGAACAAAUUAUUCCUAUGCUCCUUAGCUUUGAUCUUCCCUUUGAAUAUAUAUUUUCUCAACUUGGUUUUGAUUAGCAGCCAAUAGCCUGAGAUUGAUUUUUCAGGGAAGACAGAGGAAAUGCAAAGGCUCUGGGUUGCUGAGAUUCAUAUACUUUAUUUAUCAGGCAUACAUGAAAUAACAAUGCUUAAUAAACUCAAACCUAGAGGAGUAAAGGGAGCCAUGAAAAAGACAGGAUAAGUGGAAGAGGAGAAGUCAUAAGGGCCACAUUGGAAACUCCAAAGCUAACCUUUGCUGCUUUGUCAUUUUCCAAGGCCCAGCCUUGUUUGGGUUCUGUGGUGCAUGGGGGAAUCUGUGCCUCACCUUGCUGUCUUUGCCUACAGUUUAUAUGAAGAUUUUCCUGGAAGUCCAUUCUGAAUCAGAGAGGUGGGGCUAAAUCGGGUGUCCAAUGGGGUUCUGUAGAUUCCCAAGGAUUCACAGUGGAAUUCAGGGACCCUGAACCUCCUGAAAUUAUACAUGAAUAUUUUGUGUGUAUAGGAAUAUGUGUAUUUUUGUGAAAGGAGGUUCCAAUUGCAACUUUCAUCAGUGCUCAAAGGGACCAUAAAUGACUGCAAAGAGUGAAAAACCACUGGGAGUCCCUGGCACAACCAAGGGUGCAUCAAGCUCUGUGUUCAUGUCGCAGUGCUCCAUCACAUUGCAGUCUAAGGUCAGUUAGCCGACAUCCUCCUUGGUGACAGCUAGGUCACUAAGUAUCUCUCCACAGGAGCACCCCUCCAUGCCCAAUCUGAGGAUUAUGGUAGCAAAGCUGUCAGGCUUAAUUUUGACAAAUUGUUUUGGGUAAUUAGUCCCUUUUAAUGGCUCGUGGAAAUAGUAAUUUUAGGUGACAAGAUUAUUAUAUGCUGCUUGUUAAUGGGUCCUCCAGGGUCAAGAAAACACCACUGGGAUUGCUAUGACCUGUUCUUUUCCAUCUUUGGCAUUCCCCUUGAAAGUAUCACAAAAGACGUUUAGUAAAGUCAGCUCCCACUCCGUGAAAAGUUCAGAGCAUGAGUUUCCUUUUAUCCUUUUGCCAAGUGAAGGAUUAGAGAAGGACUUUCAACUUUUCCCUGUUUCUGCCAGCCCAUGUCAGUCUUCACAGACUUGUUGAUCAUUAACUCGAAAAGCUGGGGAAGUUUCUAGCCCUUCCCUUUGCUUAUUUACCUGUUCAACCAAGUUGCUUUACAAGCGAGUGAGUUUUGAAUAAGUAGGGUAGGUCCUAGGUGAUAAAAUAUUUGACUCAGCUCAAGUUGAAUAUUUUCAUUGCUUCUCACUUCACUGAACAGGAAGGUCAGUUUGACCAGUAGGUCGGGGCAGGUCUGUGUAAUGGUUCAUCAUGUGUCUUCCCAGGGGAGCAGUGGAUGGAAAGGCAGAGAACUCUUCUCAGCACUUUAGGAGGCUGGGAAUUGACUGGCUAUUUACUAACUGUGUCAUUCUGGGCCAUUUAUUUGACCUCCUUAAGCCCUCAUUUCAUCAUCUGUCAAAAGGGGAUAAAAAUAAUAGCUAGCUCAUGGUACAGCCAUAAGGACUAAAUGAUAUCAUAAAUACCCAGCAUAUAACAAGAACUAAACCAAACAAAGAGCAUCUAUUAUCAUUAUGGCCCAUUUAUCCUUCCCAAAUCCAGAUCUUAUUAAGAAGUUUGAAAUAGUGGAGAAGUAAAAAAAGUAUUAUAUUCACACCCAACUUUAUCUCCAUGCCUUCCAAGCUUGUUAAUGUAGGCACAUCUAAUCCUGUGUACACUGAAAUGUAUAAUGGUUUAAAAUGAUGCAGACACGGGGCACCUGACUGGCUUAGUCAGAGAGCAUGUGACUCUUGACCUUGGGGUCAUUGAGUCUGAGCCCCACAUUAGGUGUAGGACGUACUUUAAAAAUAAAAUAAGAUGAUGCAGGUGAGGAUAGACCAUCACUACAUUGCUAUCUACUUAAAGUAGGUAACAUUGAUGUCAAUGUGUGUAACCACAUUCCUUGAAAUCAAAGAUUUCAUGUGAAAGUGACCAUAAAGAAUUUGUGGGGACCCAA
RNAcentral lists this long non-coding RNA (4796 nucleotides) under Lynx pardinus (Iberian lynx). The record is from RNAcentral. Lineage: Eukaryota; Metazoa; Chordata; Mammalia; Carnivora; Felidae.